Molecule: small RNA, 61 nt
Filed under: Plasmodium falciparum 3D7
Lineage: Eukaryota; Apicomplexa; Aconoidasida; Haemosporida; Plasmodiidae
Description: Pfa-npcR6099
Source: RNAcentral
UGUGCUUUUUUUAAAGAAGAAACAAAUAAAUUGUAAUAAUAUAAUAAAUAGUAAUAUUAUA